CUCGUUGAUCCUGCGAGAGAUUUCUGCUAGAGGAGUUAGAUUAAGCCAUGCAAGUAUCUUAAUAUUUAUAUUGAGGUGCAUAAGGCUGAGUAACACGUCAAUAAUCUGUCUUAUUAUCUUUUAUAAUCUUGGGAAACUGUGGAUAAAGAGGAUAGAAAUUAUAAACUGGAAUGUUGUAAUUUUGAAGGUAAGGUGGGAUGGCGGUCGAUUAGGUUGUUGGUGAGGUAAUGGCUCACCAAGCCUCUGAUCGGUAGGGGUUGUGAGAGCAAUAACCUCCAGAAGGACACUGAGACAAGGGUCCUAGCUCUAAGGAGUGCAGCAGGUGCGAAAACUCUACAAUGCACGCAAGUGUGAUAGGGUAACUCCUCGUACUCACCUCUGGUGAGUUUUUAUUAAGUUUAGUUAACUUAUUGAAUAAGUGAUGGGCAAGACUGGUGCCAGCAGCCGCGGUUAUACCAGCCUCACAAGUGGAAAUCAUUUUUAUUGGGUCUAAAGCGUUCGUAGCCGGUUUUUUAAGUUUUUCGUUAAAUUUUCUCGUUUAACUUGAAACUCGCAAAAAAUACUAGAAAACUUGGAAUCGGGAGGGGUGUGGAGUAUUAUAAGGGUAGCGGUAGAAUGUUAUAAUCCUUUUAAGACUAACUAUGGCGAAGGCACCACACUAGAACAAAUUCGACGGUCAGGAACGAAAGUUGGGGGAGCAAACCGGAUUAGAUACCCGGGUAGUCCUAACUGUAAACUCUGUAGGUUAAGAUUUGCUUUUUUUUCGGAAUUUAGCAGAUCUAAAAGCGAAGGCGUUAAACCUACCACCUGGGAAGUACAGCCGCAAGGCCGAAACUUAAAGGAAUUGCCGGGGGAGUACUACAAGCGGUGCGGCGUGCUGUUCAAUUUAACUAUACACAGAGAAACUUACCAAGGGCGACAGCACAAUGAAGGUCAGUCUAAAGGGCUUACCUAAGGCGCUGAGAGGUGUUGCAUGGCCGCCGUCAGCUCGUGCUGUGAAGUGUCCUCUUAAGUGAGGAAACGAGCAAGACCUAUACCUAUAAUUGCUAACAGGGUUUACCUGUGCACUUUAUAGGGACUGCCUUGGAAACAAGGAGGAGAGUGUAGGCAACGGUAGGUCUAUAUUGCCCGAAUCUCUUGGGCUACAAGCGCGCAACAAUGGCAAGUACAAUGAGUCGCAACUUCGAGAGAAGACGCCAAUCUCCAAAACUUGUCUUAGUUUAGAUUGAGGUUUGUAACUCAGCCUCAUGACAACGGAAUCGCUAGUAAUCGGAUGUUAUCAGCAUCCGGUGAAUAUGUCCAUUCUCCUUGGACACACUGCCCGUCAAACCAACCAAGCAGGACUUAAAUGAGGUUUUUCUCCUUAAGGGAAAAAUCGAAUUUUUGUUCUGUGAGGGGGGUUAAGUCGUCACAAGGUA
This 1418-nucleotide ribosomal RNA is filed under the name metagenome. RNAcentral describes it as "bacterial SSU rRNA". It matches the Rfam family "Archaeal small subunit ribosomal RNA". The record is from RNAcentral.